GGGUGGUGACGCAGGGAGGAGGUCCUUACCUCUCCCUGGGAGGUCUUUUCAGCGCCUUGGGCCCAGAUGCGUCUCGUCUCCGGGCUCCGUGUGGGCAUCAGGCUGUGCCUCUUCCCCGUCACCACCAUCUUCAUCGUCACGCACUUUCCCUUCCACCCCCUCCUCACGCCGCAGGGACCGGACAGCAGCAUGCUGCAGACCAGCAUCUCCACCCUGGGUUUUAUUGAGUAGCUGGUGGCAGUAGUGUUCUGGAGCUGCUUCCCUGACACGCAGUCAGCUGGGGCCCGGCCUGGCUCUGCGCAGAGCUGAGUUGUGAAAGCUAAGGAAGGCAGGCGGGGCUGCCCUCCCGCCUCUUGGAGCCUCGGGCCAAGCUCUCUACGUCUCUCUGGCAUGAUUAGGACCCUGAUCCACGAAACGGCUCUCGGACAUGCCAGGGCACUCACUCUGCUCCACCGUCCUCCAUUCCCCCCACCCCCAUUCGGCUCUUGACCCAUCUCGAGGGACAUGUUUUACCAGGAAUUCUUCCUGCAGGAGAGCUGAAUUGGAAACCCAGGGUGGCGGGAGGGAGGGGUGGUAGGAGGUACCCUGGUGAGCAGAGCCACUCACUCUGGGCACCUACAGUGAGGAACCCGUGGGGGAGGUACCUGGGCCUUGAAGAAACCGUGCACCCCAGGCCCUCCCUCCCCCAGGAACCACAAGCAAGGAAGAGAAGCAAACAGACCCUUGUCAUCCUAGCCACCUCCUGGCAGUCUCUGGAUAACAAUCUAAGGAGACAGGCGGACGUUUAUAAUUAGAGGAUAAUUCAGAACAUAUACACUAUUUACAAGGGCGGCCCUGCACAGAGCAGGGAAGGUGGGAGGCUGCCGGGCACAGGUGCAAAGUCUAGGGGGCUCCUCCUCUCUCUUCACCCUUGUUUUUGCUGUUCUCAGCCUCAGCUCCGAGCAGGGAGUGAGGAGUCGGAUUCUCUUGGGGUCUGCGGGUGGCGCAGAGACCAGUCACCGGGACCUUGCUGCUGGCAGAAGGCCCAGUGGCGAUUCCGGCGUGACACCUGCCUUGGUGUUGCUGGGUAAGGUGGGGCUGGAGGGGCGGCCGCUCCCUGCCUGCUGUCCUCACCAGAAGGCUAGAGGGGUCAGCCACGUGCGCGCCGGGAGUGGACAGCUGGAGCGGUGAGGGGUAGGCCCUGUCUCUACCGCAGCUCGGGGAUGAACUGAGCCCAGCUGAUGCCGUCAGGGCCCAGCGGGUCCUCGUCCAGGCCGGGGAAGCUGAUGUCCAGCAGGAUCUUGCUGAGGCUGUCAUUCAUCGUGUCCAGCACCAGGCCUUCUGUCAGAGACCGGUUGGCAGAGAGGCUGGCGACCUGCGGCUCAGUGGAGCUGAGCUUGGGGACUUCCAUCUCUGAGGGGGAACAGCUGCUGAAGGGGUCAGAGGCUGGAUUUCUUCCUCCUUGAUGGGCUGGACCGGAAGCAGAGGAGACAGCACCUCUCUGAGCGGGAGUUUCUCCUCUUUCA
Long non-coding RNA from Camelus dromedarius (Arabian camel), 1505 nucleotides. RefSeq lists it as uncharacterized. The record is from RefSeq and is a predicted model, not a curated record. The transcript is spliced from 3 exons. NCBI's taxonomy places the organism in Eukaryota, Metazoa, Chordata, Mammalia, Artiodactyla, Camelidae.